GGCACGUAUUUCAGGGUGAACUGAUUUUAUUAGUUUUGUUGAUUGUGAUGCUGAUAUUGCCAUAUGUUUUAUGCAGAGUGGUGAUGAUAUAAUUAUGGAAGUUGUGCCAUCAUCAAUUGAAAGUAAUAAUUCAGAAGAAUCUGAAGUAUCAGAUGACAAAUCUGUAGAUCUUCCUAGUCUUGCUGAAACACUUAGUACAUUGGAAGUAACACAAUGUUACAUAAGAUCAAAAAACAUUAAUGAUGACAAGAUGUGUACAGUAGUUGCGCAUGAAAGCAUGAUCUAUGAAUGUAGUAUCAC
RNAcentral lists this long non-coding RNA (300 nucleotides) under Androctonus crassicauda. Lineage: Eukaryota; Metazoa; Arthropoda; Arachnida; Scorpiones; Buthidae. The record is from RNAcentral.